AGAGUUUGAUCCUGGCUCAGGACGAACGCUGGCGGCGUGCUUAACACAUGCAAGUCGAACGAUGAAGCUGGAGCUUGCUCCGGUGGAUUAGUGGCGAACGGGUGAGUAACACGUGAGAAAUCUGCCCUUGACUCUGGGAUAACUGCGGGAAACUGUAGCUAAUACCGGAUACUUUCCCUGGUGGGCAUCCACUGGGGAAGAAAGAAUUUCGGUCAAGGAUGAUCUCGCGGCCUAUCAGCUAGUUGGUGAGGUAAUGGCUCACCAAGGCGACGACGGGUAGCCGGCCUGAGAGGGUGACCGGCCACACUGGGACUGAGACACGGCCCAGACUCCUACGGGAGGCAGCAGUGGGGAAUAUUGCACAAUGGGCGCAAGCCUGAUGCAGCAACGCCGCGUGAGGGACGAAGGCCUUCGGGUUGUAAACCUCUUUUAGCAGGGAAGAAGCGAAAGUGACGGUACCUGCAGAAAAAGCACCGGCUAACUACGUGCCAGCAGCCGCGGUAAUACGUAGGGUGCAAGCGUUGUCCGGAAUUAUUGGGCGUAAAGAGCUCGUAGGCGGUUUGUCACGUCUGCUGUGAAAUUUCGAGGCUCAACCUCGAACUUGCAGUGGGUACGGGCAG
This 620-nucleotide ribosomal RNA is filed under the name uncultured bacterium. RNAcentral's name for it is "bacterial SSU rRNA". It matches the Rfam family "Bacterial small subunit ribosomal RNA", at positions 8 to 639 of the family's 1533-position model. The record is from RNAcentral.